This 460-nucleotide ribosomal RNA is filed under the name uncultured bacterium. RNAcentral's name for it is "partial 16S ribosomal RNA". It matches the Rfam family "Bacterial small subunit ribosomal RNA", at positions 338 to 795 of the family's 1533-position model. The record is from RNAcentral.
CCUACGGGCGGCAGCAGUGAGGAAUAUUGGUCAAUGGACGAGAGUCUGAACCAGCCAAGUAGCGUGAAGGAUGACUGCCCUAUGGGUUGUAAACUUCUUUUAUAUGGGAAUAAAACAGUUUAUGCAUACACUCUUGUAUGUACCAUAUGAAUAAGGAUCGGCUAACUCCGUGCCAGCAGCCGCGGUAAUGCGGAGGAUCCGAGCGUUAUCCGGAUUUAUUGGGUUUAAAGGGGGCGUAGGCGGACUGUUAAGUCAGUUGGUAAAGUUUGCGGCUGAACCGUAAAAUUGCAGUUGAAACUGGCGGUCUAGAGAACAGUAGAGGUAGGCGGAAUAAGUGGAGUAGCGGUGAAAUGCUUAGAUAUAACGAAGAACACCGAUUGAGAAGGCAGCUCACUAGACUGAAUCUGACGCUGAUGCUCGAGAGUAUGGGUAGCGAACAGGAUUAGAUACCCUGGUAGUC